This 524-nucleotide ribosomal RNA is filed under the name uncultured bacterium. RNAcentral's name for it is "partial 16S ribosomal RNA". It matches the Rfam family "Bacterial small subunit ribosomal RNA", at positions 28 to 523 of the family's 1533-position model. The record is from RNAcentral.
GACGAACGCUGGCGGCGUGCCUAAUACAUGCAAGUCGAACGAAGCUUUUUUAACUGGUGCUUGCACCGACUUAAACAACUGAGUGGCGAACGGGUGAGUAACACGUGGGUAACCUGCCCCAAAGCGGGGGAUAACAUUUGGAAGCAGAUGCUGAUACCGCAUAACCACAGAAACCACAUGGUUUCUGUGUCAAAGAUGGUUUCGGCUAUCACUUUGGGAUGGACCCGCGGCGUAUUAGCUAGUUGGUAAGGUAAUGGCUUACCAAGGCAAUGAUGCGUAGCCGAAAUGAGAGCGUGAUCGGCCACAUCGGGACUGAGACACGGCCCAAACGCCUACGGGAGGCAGCAGUAGGGAAUCUUCCACAAUGGACGAAAGUCUGAUGGAGCAACGCCGCGUGAGUGAAGAAGGUUUUCGGAUCGUAAAACGCUGUUGUCAGAGAAGAACGUGUGCGAGAGUAACUGUUCGUGCAGUGACGGUAUCUGGCCAGAAAGCCACGGCUAACUACGUGCCAGCCGCCGCCGUAA